UAUGGAAGUAACAUAUCUGCAUCUAUGGAGCAGGCAUAGAAAAUGCUGCAAAUACAUGCCUUUGAUCUAAAUGACAGAAAUAAAUUUGCUAGGGACACGGUAGAAUUAAGCAUGUUUAAACUGACCCAUAUUGCUUGAAGUGCAGGUAGAAUAUUUCUCCUUUCGAUCGGGACCAUUUGAUUUACGGCAUAAAUAAAAUUAUGUUAUAUGCAUAAUACAUGUAAUAUAAUUUGGCACAUUAACUCUUAACGGAUGGAGGUUAAUAUUUUAUCUAUCCCUUAUUUUUUUUCCUGUUCUCUAGCUAAAUUUAUCACGAGUCUGCAGGCAUGGCUUGCUGCUGCACAUGGACACGAACAAUUAAGUUUUCAGUCAGAACCAGAGUGAGAGACUCCGAUCCCACUGCACUCACUAAGCCUACACUGAUAAGGCAGGAAGAAGCUCUUGUGCAAGAAAUCUGAAGUGAAGGCUCCAGUUAUCCCUGGGCUGUGUGAAGGAAUCUCACUGAGACCCUCCUGGCACUUUGUCUGCAGAGGAACUGCAGAGAGCAAGCUUCCUGUGCUGAGCAGCCUGUGGAGAGUUACACCUCCACCUGGGAUGGAAACCAGCUCUCCUACCUGAGCAAGCAGAACACUAAGCUGGACAUUUGGAAAGCUUACUUUGCCGUGGCAGGUUAUCCUCAUUAUCACUGCAAGUACCUAACUCUUUGCUGCUGCAAGCUGAACUCAAAGAUGCUGAUGUGUGUAACUGUAGUGAUGGGUUUAUGAAAUAAAGUGGAUUCCAUCAGCAAGCUAAGAUAUAAAUCUUGAAUGACUGAGAACUUUGGGAACUGGUUGGAAUAAUGGAUUGAAUGUCAUCUGUGUAUGCAAAGUCGUCAGAAUCUGUCAAUCUUCAGGAAAGCUUUGAGUAUGGAAGAAUGGAGAACCAGUAGAGGCCUUUUGUCACAUUGCCUGAGCAUGGAGGAUUUCAUAGGCUGGGACAUUCAGGGUGGGCAGCUUUUGCAAUGGAAUUUGGAAGCAAUUUAUGUGAUGGAACUGGCAAGAUAAACACCUGAGAUGACAUGGAGACACUGGGGAGCUUUGAAGGCAAGUUAUACAAAUGGGAACUAAAAAUGAAAGAGGGGAAAUUGAAAUGAAGAUAAAAAGGUUUAAAUACCUGAGGGCAAGGUAAAAGGAAAGCAAAGACCUCAGAUUCAUUGUAUUCAAGUAGUAUGAUCAGAGUGAUUUUUCUUUUCUAAAACCAAAAGAAUAUGUCAAUGUAAAUUUUUUUCUGGUAGAGGAAACAUACUUGAGGUUUUCUCUAUCACUCAUUUGCAAAUGGCAGUGCUCAAAUAGUUAUGAAAAUUAAUAGGACAGGGUGUUUUAUUUGGGAGUUCGCCUAGGGAAGAGUCAUAUCCUCUAAAGAAAAUGCAUUUUUUCUUUCACCUGGUGGAGCUAACUUUAAACUCUCUUUAAAAGACCAUGGGAGACUCACAGAAAGCAUUAAUGUAAUGUUGCCAAGCACGUGCCUUUUUUCUCUUUCCUUCUGCCACUGAGGGUUUGGGUUGCUGCUCCUCCUGUGCAAUUUCAGUUUGCCUCUUUGCUCUGCUAAGGUUGCUGUCAUUGGUUCACCACAUUCCUUGGACAUUUGCUGCACAUUUUACUGGCAUGAGCAUGAAUAGAAAUAUAAUUCUGACAUUAAUUAGCUGAGAAUGUGUGCAUCACUGGAGAAUAAAAGGAAUAUAUUUCCAGAAAAUCAUUCCAUUUGUUUUUCAGAGUAUCUCCUGACUACUGGAUUUAAACACUGAAAAAGAAAAGGGAGCUGGGAC
Molecule: non-coding RNA, 1804 nt
Organism: Lonchura striata (white-rumped munia)
Lineage: Eukaryota; Metazoa; Chordata; Aves; Passeriformes; Estrildidae
Source: RefSeq, a predicted model, not a curated record